Molecule: ribosomal RNA, 1312 nt
Filed under: Streptomyces sp. NTMn5
Lineage: Bacteria; Bacillati; Actinomycetota; Actinomycetes; Kitasatosporales; Streptomycetaceae
Description: bacterial SSU rRNA
Rfam family: Bacterial small subunit ribosomal RNA
Source: RNAcentral
GUGAGUAACACGUGGGCAAUCUGCCCUGCACUCUGGGACAAGCCCUGGAAACGGGGUCUAAUACCGGAUACUGACCCUCACGGGCAUCUGUGAGGUUCGAAAGCUCCGGCGGUGCAGGAUGAGCCCGCGGCCUAUCAGCUUGUUGGUGAGGUAAUGGCUCACCAAGGCGACGACGGGUAGCCGGCCUGAGAGGGCGACCGGCCACACUGGGACUGAGACACGGCCCAGACUCCUACGGGAGGCAGCAGUGGGGAAUAUUGCACAAUGGGCGAAAGCCUGAUGCAGCGACGCCGCGUGAGGGAUGACGGCCUUCGGGUUGUAAACCUCUUUCAGCAGGGAAGAAGCGAAAGUGACGGUACCUGCAGAAGAAGCGCCGGCUAACUACGUGCCAGCAGCCGCGGUAAUACGUAGGGCGCGAGCGUUGUCCGGAAUUAUUGGGCGUAAAGAGCUCGUAGGCGGCUUGUCACGUCGGUUGUGAAAGCCCGGGGCUUAACCCCGGGUCUGCAGUCGAUACGGGCAGGCUAGAGUUCGGUAGGGGAGAUCGGAAUUCCUGGUGUAGCGGUGAAAUGCGCAGAUAUCAGGAGGAACACCGGUGGCGAAGGCGGAUCUCUGGGCCGAUACUGACGCUGAGGAGCGAAAGCGUGGGGAGCGAACAGGAUUAGAUACCCUGGUAGUCCACGCCGUAAACGGUGGGCACUAGGUGUGGGCAACAUUCCACGUUGUCCGUGCCGCAGCUAACGCAUUAAGUGCCCCGCCUGGGGAGUACGGCCGCAAGGCUAAAACUCAAAGGAAUUGACGGGGGCCCGCACAAGCGGCGGAGCAUGUGGCUUAAUUCGACGCAACGCGAAGAACCUUACCAAGGCUUGACAUACACCGGAAACGUCUAGAGAUGGGGCCCCCUUGUGGUCGGUGUACAGGUGGUGCAUGGCUGUCGUCAGCUCGUGUCGUGAAAAGUUUGGGGUUAAGUCCCGCAACGAGCGCAACCCUUGUCCCGUGUUGCAGCAGGCCCUUGUGGGUGCUGGGGAAUCACGGGAGACCCCCGGGCACUCCCAAGGAGAGAGGGGGGGAGGAACCUCAAUUCUUCUUGCCCCCUUAUGUUUUGGGGGUGCCACACGGCUACAAUGGGCGGGUACAUUGAGUGCGAUACCCCCCCAGGGGGGAAGCGAAUCUCAAAAACGGGCCGGCCCUCCCCCAAAUGAGGGUGGUGCGCCCUCCACCCCACCCAAAAGAGGAGGCCCCUUUAUAUCCAAAUAACAAUAAUUUUUCGGGGGAGAGAAAUUACCGGGCUGUGUUUACCCCCCUCCCCCCUCCC